This 429-nucleotide ribosomal RNA is filed under the name Bacillota bacterium. RNAcentral describes it as "Firmicutes bacterium partial 16S ribosomal RNA". It matches the Rfam family "Bacterial small subunit ribosomal RNA", at positions 355 to 776 of the family's 1533-position model. Lineage: Bacteria; Bacillati; Bacillota. The record is from RNAcentral.
UAGGGAAUCUUCGGCAAUGGACGGAAGUCUGACCGAGCAACGCCGAGUGAGUGAAGAAGGUUUUCGGAUCGUAAAGCUCUGUUGUUAGAGAAGAACGUUGGUAGGAGUGGAAAAUCUACCAAGUGACGGUAACUAACCAGAAAGGGACGGCUAACUACGUGCCAGCAGCCGCGGUAAUACGUAGGUCCCGAGCGUUGUCCGGAUUUAUUGGGUGUAAAGCGAGCGCAGGCGGUUCUUUAAGUCUGAAGUUAAAGGCAGUGGCUUAACCAUUGUACGCUUUGGAAACUGGAGGACUUGAGUGCAGAAGGGGAGAGUGGAAUUCCAUGUGUAGCGGUGAAAUGCGUAGAUAUAUGGAGGAACACCGGUGGCGAAAGCGGCUCUCUGGUCUGUAACUUACGCUGAGGCUAGAAAGCGUGGGGAGCAAACAGG